CUUCUUAAUUUUUAUGAGUUAGCCCAAGCGCCCGUUUUUGUUGGAUAGUUCUGACUCCAUCUUUGGUCUUCUGAACCUCCCCAUUUGAUGCCCUAGUCCCCCUGACCGUGGACCGUGGUCCUUAUUCAUCCACCGGUCAUCGCCGUCUUCAUCUUCUCCGGCAACUCUCAGGAGGAAAGAUCCCUCAUCAUCUUCUGUCUUCCGGUCUUCCCCCAUCAUCGACUCCAAUAUUCCAUCUUCCCCCAUCUGCCAUCGUCGACGCGGCAAUGCCAGUCUUCCAUCUUCCCUCAUCGGCCAUCACCGAUGCUGGUCUUCCCGUCUUCGCCCGUUGCCAUCGCCGUUCGCCAUUUCAGGUAUGGCAUCAGAAGACAGACGGCGAUGUUCGCGUUCGCAGUCUAUCCUGGAAGCUGAGGUGCCUUCACUGAUUUUCACUGCACACCAGCUCUGUCACCAGAGGGUCCUGCACUGACAUGUCCCAGUGAGGCGGGUCCGAGUGAGGCGAAUCCGAGUGAGACAGACCAGUCUCCACCAGUGGUGAGGCGAGGGCAAGGUCCAUCGAAGAAUCUCGCUUUAGAGCGUUAGAGACGCAAGCACCUGGGAUAGCAUCUCCGUAUAGAGACACCAUCCAGCUAUACCAGGCCCAUUAGGGGAUGAUACAAGCCGUGGCAGAUUGAGUUGGGCAUCAUAUGCCGCAGCUGUCUCUGUGAUGCUUUUCGAUUGGUGUCACGUUGUACUGAUUUAGAGAGAGAUUUUUUACAUCUAGUUACAGAUAAAAUAAAUUAUAUUGUGAAUAUUUAAUUAGCACGGUAUUCUUCUAAUAUUUGUUAUUAGGAGGGUGUAUUUGAUAUUAUUGAUUUCGAGGAUUGCGUACGGCGAGCUAUGGAUGCUCAUUUAUCUUUGCGUUUCAAGGAGUAUCGUCAUCGCAUCCAUUAGCAUUGGUACCAUGUGAUGCAGGAUCAUAGGGUGGAGGCAGUGCGACAGUGGUCCUAUGACAGCAUCACUAUGGAUGAUUGGGCUCUCAUAUACCGACAUUAUGAGGAUCCGGCAUAUCAGGGCAGCGAUGCUUAUUGUAGAGCACAUCGACAAAUCAGCAUCAUCUGCAGCAUAUGCAACUACAUUGAGUCUUGGGCUUUUACUGAGCUUAUGGUACCAUAGCAUUAUGACCAAGGGAUUAUGCAGUUGGAGUCAUCACCACUCAGUAGUUUGCAAUGAGUAGAUAUACUCAAGAGUAUAGAUAGAUUAGCAGCACUACAUAUAAGUAUAGAAGAUGAGGUAGAGAUGUGACUUACAGAUAGAGGAGCCGAGAUAGAGCUAUCAAACAGAGAUAGUGACAUUGAAAAUUCAGGUUGAUCAGAUGAUAUCUUUUUUAUAGAAUUUUGCACCACACCAGGAUCCUGAUACUUCCAACAGUCGCUGAGAUGAUGAUGAUACCAUACACAAAUGAUUGCCCUCUCUUUUUUUGAUGUUUUAUAUAUGAUAUAUCUUUUUGUAUUUUCUUUAUAAUUUCUUUCAAUCGUAGUGGGCAUUCAUUUGUCUUAUAUAAUGUAAAAACUUGUCAUUUUGAUAUGCAAUACAAAUGUUAUUUUUUGUGACCUAUUGUUGUAUAAGUCAGUAAGUGAAAUGACAUUGAGUGGGCUGGUGAUAACACUGUACUUUACUUAACUAUGGGUUUGAUGUAUUAGUUUGUGGUGGCACUAUGAAAACUGGUCUGUGCUUUGAUGUGAUCAGCUCUUAUCUUCAUUAAUCAUAUUGUUGUUACUCUUUGUGC
This is a long non-coding RNA of Elaeis guineensis (African oil palm), 1768 nucleotides long. RefSeq lists it as uncharacterized. The record is from RefSeq and is a predicted model, not a curated record. NCBI's taxonomy places the organism in Eukaryota, Viridiplantae, Streptophyta, Magnoliopsida, Arecales, Arecaceae.